RNAcentral lists this transfer RNA (85 nucleotides) under Pseudomonadota bacterium. RNAcentral's name for it is "tRNA-Leu". It matches the Rfam family "tRNA". Rfam says of the family: Transfer RNA (tRNA) molecules are approximately 80 nucleotides in length. Their secondary structure includes four short double-helical elements and three loops (D, anti-codon, and T loops). Further hydrogen bonds mediate the characteristic L-shaped molecular structure. tRNAs have two regions of fundamental functional importance: the anti-codon, which is responsible for specific mRNA codon recognition, and the 3' end, to which the tRNAs corresponding amino acid is attached (by aminoacyl-tRNA synthetases). tRNAs cope with the degeneracy of the genetic code in two manners: having more than one tRNA (with a specific anti-codon) for a particular amino acid; and 'wobble' base-pairing, i.e. permitting non-standard base-pairing at the 3rd anti-codon position. RNAcentral also lists the same sequence under 3 other names. Lineage: Bacteria; Pseudomonadati; Pseudomonadota. The record is from RNAcentral.
GCCGAGGUGGCGAAAUUGGUAUACGCACCAGACUUAGGAUCUGGCGCCGAAAGGCAUACGAGUUCGAGUCUCGUCCUCGGCACCA